This is a long non-coding RNA of Salvelinus namaycush (lake trout), 3696 nucleotides long. RefSeq lists it as uncharacterized. Lineage: Eukaryota; Metazoa; Chordata; Actinopteri; Salmoniformes; Salmonidae. The record is from RefSeq and is a predicted model, not a curated record. The transcript has 10 exons.
CAAAGUUGAAAUUAGCACAAAACAUUGGACCAGCAUGAAGAAGGAGCAACGAAAAAGGAUGGGGAAAGUGUCAAAGCACAGACCUCUGCAGAGGAAGCAAGAAGGAGAGAGGCAGUGAGGGAGACCCUGAGAGAGAAACUGGACCUGGAGAAGAGACCUGUGCAGGUGGUGGAGUGUCUCUUGGAGGAUAGCGUAGUGGAGGACUUCCUGGUUGACUGUGAAAGCUUGAUCACUUCUGCCAAUUACAAAGACAGUUGAGGAGAGAUCUAUUGUGAAGCUGUGUGGCUAUCCUGUCUGUUCAAAUGAACUGGGCUAGGUCCCCACUCAACAGUUAAACAUUUCCACCAACACCAAUAAAGUCAAUGACAUUACAGAACGCAAGUCCUUCUGCAGUAAUUCUUCUACAAAGCCUCCAAGUCCUUUGAGCUGCAGAUAUCAAAGAGCCCUCAGUGGUUGAGGCAGCACGAGAGAUGUAAACUUAAUGAAUAAAGGAGAUUGCGGUAGCACUGGAGAGGAGGAUGUGAGGAACCUCUGUACUCUGUGGCGCCAGAGAACCCCAGACGAUCCCGCACAGCCGGUCACAGCGACACAGAACAGCACUUUGUUUCCAGCGUGGUCUCCCAGCAACAGGGACCCAGGGUGCGCUGGGGCAGUCUGCUCAAGCACACCAACUAAGGGGAUGGGAGGGAACGAGGAGAGGGAGAGAAGGUCGGGAGGGAAGGACACAAAGAUGCCAAAACAAACAAACAAGGCUGAAGACAAGACAGAGGAGAAUACAGAAGAAUCACAGAAAGAACCAACAAAGACAAUCAAUGACAUAGAUGGACCCCAACAACACACAACAGAUACAAACAACCCCAGUGAGCAGCAGCCUUUCCUGGAAGAGAGAGGCUCACCAGAGGGCCGGUCUAUGGAGGAUGCCGCAGCACUACUGAGCCAAGUCACAAUGCAGGAUAGAGAUCCAGUCACGGUUACAUCUUCUGUACUAACAACCCUCAACACAAUGCAGUGUACAGAAUCAAGAUCCAGCUCCAACCCCCAACCCUCAGUGGGACUCAACCCCAGCACAGCCCACCCAGCCGGGCCUCAGGAUCAGCCAGGUGGGCAUGAGCAGGAGGGGGGCCCAGGGGCUCCUCAAGGGCCACGAAACUACUCCAAAACCUGGCUGAUGAAGGCCUAUGGAGGACCUUCGACGAAUGGUGGACUGAGGAGACUAUGAAGUUCCUAUAUGGCCCAGACCACUUUAAUAAAACAACAGUAGAAACGAAGAAGAAGGAGGAAGAAGAAGAACUGGAUGAAGAUAACCUGGAGGAUGUUGUAGAAGGGGUUGGGGAUGGAGGGGACGGCGGGUCCCCAGGGGGUCCAUGGAGACCCUCUGCUCCAUCCCCAGACUACGACACAAUACGCAGGGAUACAGAGGAGCUGGGGCUGAGUGUAAGGGAGUUCUACAAAAGGGAGGAAGCCCACCGGGUGUCAGGGAAACGGGCCCUGAGACUCAGAGCCUGAGAAACAUCGUGGUCUCCCUGCGUCUCACCAUGACUGACAUCUCCAGUGACCUCAACAACCUGGUCAGGACCUUCAGGUUCACAAACACCAACAUCAUUCACAAAGGCCCAGAGGGGACCAUGAUCGUUAUGGUGCUCCUCUAUCUGUGUGUGUGUGUGUGUGUGUGUGUGUGUGUGUGUGUGUGUGUGUGUGUGUGUGUGUGUGUGUGUGUGUUUCUGUGUCAUGUGCUGUUGCAGGAACAGCUGGAGAGCCUGUGCCUCAGUAGGAUCCGUCAGGGAUCAGCAGAGGAAAUCAGGGAACAUUGUUUUACCUGGGGGAACACCCUCUCAACAAACUUAACCUAGUGAUUUAUCUCUACUUGUGUGUAUCCAGGGUGCACUGCAGUGUGUGUGUUCUUUUGGAUGCUCUCUUUGGUACAUUUUAAACAUCAUAAAAGUGAAUACCAACCUGUUAAAACUCAUGAUUUCAUUAAGAUAUGCAUAGAAUUAGAAUUUGUAUAUUCAUUAUUAUGAAAAACGCAUACACAUAACCACAGGCUCAGCAAUUCAAAGGUUUCCUUGUGUUUUAUGUUGCCCUGUGAAAUAUACAGUGUGGUGUGUGUGUGUGUGUGUGGCAUCUCCAAUCUGCGUUGUGUGCUUGCCCUUGCAUUGUUUGACCUGUGCCAGAUGGCGUGUGUGGUGUGUGUGCGCACUACUUCCCCAGGCAGGUCGGUGGCAGGGCGUGAGCCUAGCAGGCGCUGUGUGGGACAGUUCCGUGCUGCUCCCGUCUGUGUACACACAGACGCCUCUCGGCCUUAUCUCCUCCACCUGAUUACCCCCCCAACCCUAACCCUCUGUAGAUCCGUGAUGCAGCAGCCAGGGGCGACACACACACGCCCUGGGAAACAUUCCAUUCGGUCCCUAACUGAUCCACUGUGUACACCACCCCAGAGAGGAGACCAGGGACAUAACUUCAGCUCUGAUUUAUAGCUGUCUAAAUAAAUGAGAGAUGACGCUUUCUUGAGUUGAUAUCACCUUAUCUAGGCUACAGAUGUUGUCUUCAUCCAAUCUGAUAAGUAGAUAAUAAAGAACAUGCCUUAUUGAGUGAGGUGCUCAACAAAUAAUUGAAAGUUGUACCUGGCUGUUGGCUGCAGUAUGGUUUCAACUACCGGUAACUCAAAAUGUCUCGUAUUUAGUCAGGCUCAUAAUGUUUAUUAUAAGAAAGGAUAAAUGAGUCUUAUGACAAGUCUUACAUUGCAUUAUAAGCACAUCAUAAAGCAUACAUACUUAUCCGAAGUGUUAUCCAUUAUUUUUAUACUUACUAACAAUAUAUCUGCAGGACCAUAGAACAGUACCAAGCCAUUAGCAUUUCAGUCAACUAUCCAACUAUCCAUCUCAUGAAUCAUUUGCAGUUGAGGCCCACCUACUGCAUGGCAGCUGUGUAAUUAGUCGGGCCUCUGUUGUUGUGGUUAGGUGAAUCGUGUGAAUAAUGGAUGGGCCUCAUGCAACACUAGACCCAGGUAGCAGCUACGCUCCAGGAGACAUAUACACACUGUGCUCCUGUAUCCCUAACACAUAUUUACCAGCCCUCUGGUUAGCCUAUUUCCGAGAUACUUUUCCCAUCACCAAAGGCACAUAUAUCAUCUGGAAUGUCUUACAUCCCUACUGGCUAAACAAAAUAAAGUGUGCCCUUAAACACACAGCUUUGUAGACUUUACAAACAUGUGCAUUGUGCUGCUGAGGAGAUUAGUCAUAUUGCCACCCAGAAAUCAUAUACAUAUUUACUAUAGAUGCCUGAGGAGAUCUACAUGUCACGUUGGGGGCGAUGAAACAACAGAAGCACGUUCAUUUUCAAUGACAGAAGCGAAGUGGGCUCGGGUACCGUUGGGCAAUAAGAACGUGGGCGAGGGACUGGAAAAGGGCGGGACCAAAGUUGGGGAAUGUGGAACUUUAUGCAAAUACUCCGCGACAUCUCGUUACUGUUGGCCAAUCGAUGCUCACUAGUUUCCAGCCCCUUCUGGAUUGUCUGUUGAUACCUAGCACUAUCUAGUCUGCUUGCUAGCACCAAAGGUAAUUUACUAUUGAGCCGACAGAUGUAUCAUUUAUGGAAUGCGGUCUCAGCAAACGUGGGAACAUUGCCUUUAAUGUUUUUAUUAUUUAACAUUUAUUUAACUAGGCAAGUCGGUUAAGAACAAAUUAUUAUUUACAAUGA